CGGAAGUGGAGUUGGUAGCGCGAUGGCGGCCGCGGGGCCGCAGGCCGCGCUUUGAAUAUUGUGUUCAAUUCUGGGCCCCUCACACCAAGAAAGACCUUGAGGUGCUGGAGCGAGUGCAGAGGAGGGAACGGAGCUGGACAAGCCAAACAAGCAGUGCACCAUGCGUGCUACUGAAAUGUUCCACCCCUUCUUACCUCCUGGACAUCGCUGAUGGCCAAAUCCAGAACUGGAGCCAUGGACCGAUGAGGGAGAAGAUAAAACGUUUCUCAUCGAGGUUGCCCCCAGCUGCUCUACCUGUUACAGCCAAAAGCAGCAAGUGUGUGUGUUUUGCUCUCAAUGUCUUUCUGCAACACCCAAGGAACGAAUAAGUAAAAUAUUUUUCUUCUUCAAUGCAUUAGCUAUUAUGAUGUCAUGGAGAACUUGUCCACAUUUUACAAAUUAUAUUUGGUAUUUUUGUUGCCCCUAAAGUGAGGGUUCUUCACCUGGCGUGCAAUAAGACGACCUACACACAGAGCCAAGAUGUUUUUCUUUCAGUUCCGCAGAUUUGGGUGCUGGGCAUUUAACAGAGCCAGCACACCCUUAGUUUCGAUUCAUCUCAUAUUUAUGGUAACAAGAUGCAGUGGGUUGGUGAAUAACAAUUUCCUUUUCCGCCCAUGACUACAGAUUCUCAUGUUUAUGUGUCUGGCUUCAUGUUUAAAACAUUUAGAAAGGUAUUCUAAUUAGCAUGCUCAUUGUUCACAAAGGGGUGUGUAUUUUAGUAUUAUAAUUAUCUAAGGUAGUUGAAGAUUCACCUUUAUCUGAUUUUCGCUCCAAAUUCAUGCACAUAUAUGUAAGUUGGCAACCAAAAUGGCAAAGCAGAAAUUCAGUCGUUCUCCUCUUGGGGCUUUCUCUGCUGUUCUUCAAGGCGAGGUUCUUUUCAUGGUUUCAACACAGACCUACAUAAUUGUUCACUUCGUAACUUUUAGCCCUAUCUUUUCGACAUCAUUUUGAGUUGAGACGCUUGUAUUGAGAAGUAUUUUUCCCCGUAUUUCCACUGUUGAAGUGGUGCUUAGAUGUUUGUCUUUUGGUGGGACGUUUGGAACACCGUACAACAGAGCUGUGACUGAGAUCCAUCAGGUCUGACUGUUACCUGCAGCAGAACCAAAGAACUCUGGGUUGGGGGAGGAUAUCAAGGAAAUUGUUUAAUGACCAUUUUUUGGUAACUGCGUUGAUUUAAGCAACCCUACCCCUCCACCCAAACUUCAGGCCAGCUGUCAUCUGAAGUAGUGCUGGGUUGCAAAAGUGAAGUCAACCAGUUGUCAGUAUUUUUUGUUGGGUUAUUUUUAAUUUGGAUCCAUUUCUUAACCUGGUUCCCCAUCAUUCUCCAUCUCCUGCAGUCUGAAUGAAGGAAGGAAAACAGAAUCCAAACAACAACAGAAAUGAACUAGUAGGAUCUUGGCAACAGAAACAAGUUUCAGGGGCAGCUUGCGUGAGCAGGACAGCUGAAAAUGGUGCCUGUUUGUGGUCUUUGUACAGCUCUUUAUAGUUAUAGAUCUUGGGAAGGAUUCAGGGAGGAAAAGUUUAUCAAAAUAAGGAGGGUGUAGCAUUUUUUUGGAGAUGCUUGCAAGCAAAGAACUAUUGAGCAUAGAUCUGAAACUCUUCAUAUUAUGAAGAGGUGGGAGGUUGAAAGGGCAUGUCUCCAAGUCUCGAUAGAGGACCAGCCCCAAAUUACAAACAUCAGCAGUGAAGAGGAAACAGAGGUAGCGUGGGGUAAAUGGUCAUUCGCUGGAAGCUGCGCUUUUAUCUUCUGUUUGCAUGUAGAACUGUGGCAUUCUGGUGUCUUUAUAGUGAUGUACAGUAACAUCAGUAAUACCUAAAAAGGUGGAGUGUUUUGAUUCUUUUUCAAAAUAUCUGCUUUCUUCUUCAGUUUUCUAUUGCACCUCAUGCGAGACCAUUCAUAGGCAGCUGCCUAUAUGUUGCUUAAGCCCAGUGUUCUAUACCUAUUUUUUCAUUGCUGGUUGAAUGUCAAGUAAGGUUCUUGAGUUUAGUUUUCAGAAAUCUGAAGCAUGAUCAUGUACAUCUGGAAUAGGUGGUGGCUGUGAUUUGCCUACACAAAGUGCUGUAGAACGUCAGACGGGUUACAAGUCAGGUCUGCGUUAGUUUCAAUUGGGCAUCCAAGACUAUUAAAACUGCUUUGCCUCAGUUCCAGUUAAAAUGUCAUUUACUUAAGUGGAUUAUGUGACGGUAAGUUAAAGUUUGAAGCACUCAGUUGCGGUAGAAGUGAGUUCUGUAAAAUAUUUUUCGAAACUAGGGUUUUACCCAUGUCUGGUACAUGGAGAUGUAUUUCAAAGAACAGAGAGGAAAACAGGCAUUGAACUGUUGGUUAUUACGUUAGCGCUGCUCAUCCCGUGUGGUGUGUGAAACAACAGCCUCCUGCAAAAAGAGUAUGUGGCUGUGUAAUUAAAUCUGUCUCGGGCUGCGUGUUGUUAAUGACUGCCAGUGUGUCUUGAGUCCGUGGGAGGCUACAGACCUAGUUAAAACUGGAUUCAGCAUUUGUUAUGUUGUCCUUCAAAUCCUAUGACUGUAAAGGAAGGGUAGGGAACACAAAGAGGUUAAAAGCACAUAGAAAUAAAACAUCCUUUUGUACAAAUUCUUUCCAAAUAAGGUGGAUUGCACCAACUCGCGCCCAGCCGGGAUUGACUCCCCCUCAGACUGUCUGGUUACUCAAUCCUGUACGGUUUGACAGAUUUUGACACACUUGUGAGCGCAGGUACAAAUAGAAAGUGGGGUAAGUUUCAGAGUGGUGCUGCCCAGAGCAUGUUACAGCAUUCCAGUGUGAUCACCAUCUCUUACACAGAUCAACAACCCUGUUUGCAUCCAAAACGAGGUAAAAGAAUUGAUUCCCCGUGGAGAUAUUAGUGAAAGCGGAGAUGUUGAUAAUUCAGACCAGAGUUACUUGGUUAAGGUGGCUUUGGAGUGGCUAAAGAGGAGACUGCAGAAGCCUAAGCUGAAAGGCAGUUAUCAGGUAGGGGAGAAAUGAGCAGAAACGUUCUUUGGGGACUGUCGUCAGGUUUUGGACAUAUGAGCAAUAUAGUCAUUAAUGAGACAGAGAUAAGAACUUGACCUGCAUCCAUUAAAUUUGCCGCUAAGUUGAACGGUAUUAUAAAUAAUGAUCUUGACUAGCGUGAGAGAAAUGGGAUGAAAUUUAACAGCAUAAAGUUCAUAAUCAGGCACUGAAAGAACAGAAAACCUUUGCUAUGACCUCAUUAGUUAGUAUAACAAAGAGGGAAGAGGUCUCUUGUGGGGACAUUAAGAUCUCUUGAAGAUGUUGAGAGACUUGAUUUUCUCUGUCUUGCCACAAUAGUUAAGCCAAUAGUCACUUGUUUACGGAUCUGAGAGGCGUUCCUCUUUUUUCUGGUAUGAACUAGGCGUCUACCAUGUGUUUGCCUGGACUUGAUCCCUAAAGGAGUCCUUUCUCUCACUAUGCCUUUGUUUUUUCCCUUGCAAAAUAUAAAUGACAAAACAAAGGCCAGCGACUGUGUUCCUUUCCCAUGAAACAAAUAGGAAACUGAAUUUGUAAGAGAGGGAGUUUCAAAGAGAAAAAUAGUCAACUGCUAGUCAUGUGAAACAGCGGCGACACUGCACUGAAAACAGCACAGAGGGAGAACAAUCAAAAAUCAAACUCGGAGACAAGACCCAAAGACUUUCAAGAAAGCCACUAAAUUAAUGAUCCUUUGGAAAGAAGGGAUGUGCUGGGAAGAUGAGAUAAACCGGUUGUGUGACCUGGACGAGCAGCUCUGCGAGUGUCUGCAGCAGCGAGACCAGAAAACCUGUUCUCACCAAGGGAGCAUGAAAUGUUCAGUGCUGCCAGUAUGAAAAUACUGCCUUUUUAAAAAAAUGUAGAGGCAAAAAAAGCAAUGCGAAAGAACGGUAUUGAACAUGCGAGAAGUUAUUUUAAGACUUCAUCAUCAUAUCUAAAGAGGAGCACACCAGGGGAACCAAAUAUUUGUCGCGUCUGUGACAAGUGAUCAUGGUCUGAAGACAGUUCUUAUUACAGUAACACAAAUACUGCCUUAACAAGGCUUAUUUCAAAUGGCUGAAAAAAAAAAAUGUCAAGUCUCAUCAACUCAAAAAAAUGAACAGAAAAGCUGAAUGAAAAUAUCAUGAAUGAAGUCAUUUUGAACCCCAAAAUGCGAGCUUCCGCUGUUUAAUACAGUAGCUUAGUGCAAACGGGGAAGAAGCUCUUAUGGCCGUAAAUACAAAUGCAGAAUAAACAGGCAAAAAGGGAAUUUGGUAAUGGAUACCAAAGAAGCUAGGGAUUAUUUGAAACUUAAUUGAGGAAAGAGUGAAAGCAUAAAUGGGAAAAAGCUGCAAAAUGCAGUAUUUUUUUAAUUCCCCUUCUCUGUAACACAGUCUUCACGGCGGGCUUUUUGUUGUCCUGGACUUUAUUUGUUUCUAUUGAUUUUAUUUACAUUUUUUGCCUUUUUAAAAGCUCCCUGCGAAACUUCAACUGGCAGAAAGACACUGAGACAUAAAGCAAGAUAGGACAAGAAAUCAGGAAUGACAGAAGGCGCCUUGUCUUUUCUUUUUUAUUUCCUAUUUUCUUUAUACCGCCCGCUCACAAUUAAAACUUCAUCUCCUCCAGAUGACACACAGAAGGUGGGCAUGAUUUUAGAAGCAGCUGAUAGAUGAUUGUAGCAAGUAGGAUGUCUUGAUUUUAACAGCUAUCCUGCAGCGCAGCUUUCAUAAGCAGUUGUUAAAUCCUCCUGUGGUUCGGUGCUGGUGGAACACCGCAGCCCUUUCUUCAGAAUUACCUACAUUUCUGCUUCCAGCGCUUGACAAUGCAAAGUAUUAACAUCUUCAGUUCUCAGACAGAUUUCUGCUGGGUAAGAGCAGGUGAAACCUCGCAAACGCAGUUCAAACAGGGGCACCCGGCCAUGCUGGGGCCGAUCGCUGUUAUUUUAUGUGGGUUGGAUUUACAUUUGCAGUAAAUGUGAAGCAGUCUGUUUAUUCCACUUGAGCUUUGCGUUCAGUCUGGUUUAGGAAUCCUUUGCUAUGAGAAACAUGCAAAGAGAAGAAUCCUGUGAAAAAGUGCAUUGUACUUUCGCUGUGUCCUACUGACCGUCUCAUUGCGCCUCCUUUGUAAAAAUCACAAGAUAUUACUUAACGCCGAGCAACGCGUUUGCACAAGAGACCUCGCAACCCAGCAGCUUCAACCCAGCUCUUAUCAUGCACAGGUCUGGAAAACAUAUACAUUUCUUUAAUCUUAAAAAUGAAACUUUUUUGGGUUUUUUUUGGUCAAUUGAAACUACUAUUUCCAGAGGUUAAAAAAUAAACACGUAGUCUUGUCAUCUAGCAGUUGCGUUUAAGAGUAGCAACCUUUAGGUUGUGUGAUGCUUGGGAAAAGUUAUCGUGUGUCUUCUGGGCCACAAAGAUUCUUUCUGAGACUAAUUCCAAAAGAAAAUAUACUGUGAAAACAAAACGACUCUUAAGGAUUCCUUUUGUGGUUUGUUUUCAUUCAUUCUUCUGGCUUGAUGUUGAUGAAAUAGGCUUUUUGAGUACCGUGCAUAAAUACUGAGUAUACGCUUCAUGAAAAAUAAAAAUACGCUAACUUUCCCGACAAA
Molecule: long non-coding RNA, 5603 nt
Organism: Columba livia (rock pigeon)
Lineage: Eukaryota; Metazoa; Chordata; Aves; Columbiformes; Columbidae
Exons: 2
Source: RefSeq, a predicted model, not a curated record